This 253-nucleotide ribosomal RNA is filed under the name uncultured bacterium. RNAcentral's name for it is "partial 16S ribosomal RNA". It matches the Rfam family "Bacterial small subunit ribosomal RNA", at positions 524 to 776 of the family's 1533-position model. The record is from RNAcentral.
UACGGAGGGGGCAAGCGUUGUUCGGAAUUACUGGGCGUAAAGGGCUCGUAGGUGGCCAACUAAGUCGGACGUGAAAUCCCUCAGCUUAACUGGGGAACUGCGUCCGAUACUGGAUGGCUUGAGUUUGGGAGAGGGAUGCGGAAUUCCAGGUGUAGCGGUGAAAUGCGUAGAUAUCUGGAGGAACACCGGUGGCGAAGGCGGCAUCCUGGACCAACACUGACACUGAGGAGCGAAAGCCAGGGGAGCAAACGGG